UACGGAGGGUGCAAGCGUUAUCCGGAUUUACUGGGUUUAAAGGGUGCGUAGGUGGGCUGGUAAGUCAGUGGUGAAAUCUCCAGGCUUAACUUGGAAACUGCCAUUGAUACUAUCAGUCUUGAAUACCGUGGAGGUCAGCGGAAUAUGUCAUGUAGCGGUGAAAUGCUUAGAUAUGACAUAGAACACCAAUUGCGAAGGCAGCUGGCUACACGAAUAUUGACACUGAUGCACGAAAGCGUGGGGAGCAAACAGG
RNAcentral lists this ribosomal RNA (253 nucleotides) under uncultured bacterium. RNAcentral's name for it is "partial 16S ribosomal RNA". It matches the Rfam family "Bacterial small subunit ribosomal RNA", at positions 524 to 776 of the family's 1533-position model. The record is from RNAcentral.